Molecule: ribosomal RNA, 606 nt
Filed under: uncultured bacterium
Lineage: Bacteria
Description: bacterial SSU rRNA
Rfam family: Bacterial small subunit ribosomal RNA
Source: RNAcentral
UUUGAUCCUGGCUCAGAAUCAACGCUGGCGGCGCGCCUAACACAUGCAAGUCGAACGAGAAAGCGGGGGCAACCUCGUGAGUAAAGUGGCGUACGGGUGAGUAACACGUGGAUCAUCUACCCUCUAGUGGGGGAUAACCCUGGGAAACCGGGGCUAAUACCGCAUAAGCUCGAGAGAGGAAAGCAGCAAUGCGCUGGAGGAGGAGUCCGCGGCCGAUUAGCUAGUUGGUAGGGUAAAGGCCUACCAAGGCUACGAUCGGUAGCCGGCCUGAGAGGGCACACGGCCACACUGGCACUGAAACACGGGCCAGACUCCUACGGGAGGCAGCAGUGGGGAAUCUUGCACAAUGGGGGCAACCCUGAUGCAGCGACGCCGCGUGAGCGAUGAAGCCCUUCGGGGUGUAAAGCUCUUUCGGCAGGGAAGAUUAUGACGGUACCUGCAGAAGCAGCUGCGGCUAACUACGUGCCAACAGCCGCGGUAAUACGUAGGCAGCAAGCGUUGUUCGGAGUUACUGGGCGUAAAGGGUGUGUAGGCUGUUCUCUAAGUCUGGUGUGAAAUCUCCCGGCUCAACUGGGAGGUUGCACCGGAAACUGCAGGGCUAGAGUG